This 433-nucleotide ribosomal RNA is filed under the name uncultured bacterium. Its description in RNAcentral is "partial 16S ribosomal RNA". It matches the Rfam family "Bacterial small subunit ribosomal RNA", at positions 29 to 507 of the family's 1533-position model. The record is from RNAcentral.
AACGAACGCUGGCGGCAUGCCUAACACAUGCAAGUCGAACGAGACCUUCGGGUCUAGUGGCGCACGGGUGCGUAACGCGUGGGAACCUGCCCUUAGGUUCGGAAUAACUCCCCGAAAGGGGUGCUAAUACCGGAUAAUGUCUUCGGACCAAAGAUUUAUCGCCUUUGGAUGGGCCCGCGUUGGAUUAGCUAGUUGGUAGGGUAAAAGCCUACCAAGGCGACGAUCCAUAGCUGGUCUGAGAGGAUGAUCAGCCACACUGGGACUGAGACACGGCCCAGACUCCUACGGGAGGCAGCAGUGGGGAAUAUUGGACAAUGGGCGAAAGCCUGAGCCAGCAAUGCCGCGUGAGUGAUGAAGGCCUUAGGGUUGUAAAGCUCUUUUACCCGGGAUGAUAAUGACAGUACCGGGAGAAUAAGCUCCGACUAACUCCGUG